GGGUACAAUAAAAUACAAAAACAAUAUUAAUACACAAUAUAUACACAAUUUAACAUAGAACAGGUAGGAAAUAUAUAAUCAACCAUGCCACGUGCAUUCUGUUUUGAGGUAUGUAGAGAGGGAUCUCUUAAAGGACUUUAGGCUUGGGGAAGAUUUUAAAUUGUGCGGGAGGUCGUUCCAUAAUUGCGGCGCUCUGUAGGAGAAGGAGGAUCGGGCCGCUUUCUUUUUGUAUUGAGGUAGACUAAAUAAAGUGUUGGUACUGGAUCGGUGGUUAUAGGAGGUGGGAACCGCCGAGGAUAGCAUUCUGCUCAGGUAGGGUGGGAGCUCCCCAGAAAAGCUCUUAAAGCCAAGGCUGGAAAGAUGAAGGGUGCGUCUGGAUUCCAGCGAACGCCAGUUUAGUUCUUUUAGCAUGUCACAAUGUUGGGUCCUGUAAUUACAUUGUAGCACAAAUCAGCAGAACGAGUUAUACAAUGUGUUGAGUUUAUUAAUGUGGGAUUGCGGUGCAGGUGCAUAUACUACAUUUGCUGUACAAUCUUUUCCUUUACAUUAGAUACAGUAACAAUAUUGGUUGUCUUUUAGCUGUGUAAACUCCCUCAGAAACCUACAGAUAAUCCCUAAAAUGCACUCAAUGUGUUCAGAACCACACUUUCUUCUUAUUAUUUAUUAGAAUGCAUCAGGAAAGUUAUCCAUCAAAACUUUCUGUACUUUGCGGGAGAAAGGAAGGAGGUUGCUACAUUCAGUCUGUCUUCAGAGAUACAAAAUUGACCAAAUGGAGAGAAAAAUUAGUCUCUUUACAGACUAAAAUAAAUCCUAGGUAAAAAAGCAAGGGUUCUUGGCAAGGGUUCUAAAUAUAAGUUUGCAAUCCAAAACAAAUGCACAUAUUAUUGGUAAUGUGUCUUGGUCAAAUAUAUCGAACAACUAGGGUUUUUGGAUUCCCAGAGUCACCUCAUUCGUUAACAAAGACUUGAGAAGGAGUCUACAUUAUUUAAACAUUACCAUAAUUAUGUAAUUACCAGGAUUGAUCCAGUAGACACUUUUAGAACCAUCACUAGAUGGGUUUCUUGAAAAUUAUUAUUGAUGACAUCUGACUUAGAAAUAUCUCUAUAGUUCUUGAAAGAUUGUUGUAUCUAAUAGAACAUCAUGAAAUAAUGUAUUCAGGGCGGUACAUCUUUUUUGAUAAUACUGUUUUUCCCCUAUACUUUAAUACUAUUCGAUAUUUACAGUAUUAUAUUAUUUCCACAUUUAAUACAGCAUCAAAUGUUUCUUUUUAUUGCAUUUUCAUCUCCUCAUCUGGCUUUAUUUUUCACCUUUAGAAUGGAUUAUAAAUAAAUCAUUUAACUUAAAAAGCUCAAUAUUGCAAGAACAUCUGAUAAAAGGAAAUAUCAUCAGAAUUCUUAUUUGUGUAUAACACAUUAAAAAAAAAACAUCAUUACAUUGAACUUACAUGCCACUCUUAUUUUAUUAAUUUUAGAGUCUCAAGUAUGUGAAAGUAUCAUUAAAGUGAAUUCAUGUUUUGUGAAGAUUGUCCUGGUGGUUAAAAGAACCCUUCUCCAGCUGCCCAUACCUCAUUCAAAAUUAAUAAUUGCACCUGUGGAUUCUAUGUUGUAUUAUCUUCUCAUCUGCUGGUGGUCAUGCUUACUGUAUUCAGAAAUAGAGAUCUGGAACAUGCAGCGAAUCCAGGUUCAUAUAUCUAACAAAUAAGUGCUAGGUUUUGGCAUUUCGCAAUCUUGGUAAAGUCUUCUGAACCUUUUUGCAACUCAAAGUCUAAAAUGUAGCACUUAUUAAUUGUUCCAAAUUAAAUUCAGUGGAUCUGUCUACCCAUAUGUCCAACGUCUGGACAAUUAAGAGAAGUUGGUGAGUUCUGGUCUUGAGUAGUAUUGAGAAUGUCCCAACUAAGUUCUAUCUUUACAUUGUGACUUUGCUUUUUUUUUUUUUUUUUUUUUACAGUGAGUAACGGUAUAGAUAUGGAUAACAGAUGGUAAAGGUUAAAACACCUUCAGAUCACAGUUUUCAAGCAGGCUUUCAUGAUUUUGAAUCCCGUAAUUAUAAGUACAAUAGAUAUCUUUCAGAUAGUUGCCUUGUAUGUAGCUCCAUCGGGUGUCUAUUAGCUUUUAUAAAAGCAGCUUAUUUAUUAAUGCCCAAUGGAAUGUGUACAACACAAUCAACAGAUCUAGAAGAGAGCACACACAGCUUGAGUCAUUGAGUGAUGCUGGUAAAUUAAACAUCCGAAAAGUGAGACUUGUUUCAUUACAGAACCUGAGAGACCAUUCCCACCUACCAUCUUCAUAAAUAACUCAAAGAACGAUGCUGUCUUAUUUUGCUUUUGUCACUGCACAGCAUGGAUCAAUAUUGUAGUUAUUCCAGUAAAUACUCGAUGGACUCAAACUACAUAGAUGAAUAACAGUCACAUUUUCUCUUCUGUUCAGCUGAUGUCCUUUUAGGUUAAGGAGUCUUUAAUUUUCAUAAGAGAACAGUUCCAAAAUUACGAGACAUUGACAGGGCUACACCAUCUCCAGUGCCAAGUUUGGAUGUAUCUGUUUAGUAAAGAUGCAACCAUGGUUUUCAUUCAGGACAUAUUUCAUCUCCAAUGAGCAAUGACUAAUUUAUAACUAGGUUUCAUUAUUUUGUCUUAACUUGAUAUUCCAAAUGUCAAAGCCUUGUUCAGUUUAUUUCCAUAAGCCUCAAGUUGUUCUUUGUCGAAUUCCUACUUGACUUGCCACACACAAUAUGUAUGUUCUAUUCUGGAAUGAAAGUUCAGAUGUUUUUGUCAAGGUCAUAAACCAAAGGACUGUAAAGUAUUGCUUCUUUGUUGCUAAGAUAAAUUUCUUCACUGCAAUAUCUUUUGGCUCAUAAACAAGACAGAGGAUAUAUUCCGGAUUACCUCAGGGCAUUCUAUUUAUCUGGAUAGGUGUCAGAAGUUCAUAGACAGACUCUGUAUUCUCAAAACUGUAAACUGCCAACAUAUUGAUGUGCACUUUAUCUGUCUGCAGUGCUCUUUAAAUCAUUAUAUUUGACAUUGUUUUCUUUAGAUUAAGUGAAGAAAUAGAAUAGACACCUGUAAAAUGUAACUCCAUUAAUGAACCGUUUGACCUUGGAUAAUUACUAACAGCAGCUUAUUCUGUAAAACUCAGACUUCUUGCAAUUUACAUUGAAUAAUAAGGAAUCUGCCCAGUGACCACUUCCGGUACCGGCGCACACGAGACAUAUUUGAUAUCAUUUCUUUUUAUGGCUUGCACACCUGUUAUCAUGGUACAAAUAAUCUAAAUAGUACCCUGUGGCUGACUCAUGUAGGCAAAGGUAUAAUGUGUUCCAAAUGCAUGUGACAAAAAUGAUGUACCCUUAGUAGUGUGUGUGGAACUGCACUCACUCCCAUAAAUCUGAGCCAGGAUGCUUGCUGAACCGGAAUCAAACACCAGAUUUCCAAAAAUGAAUAAAGUAAUAGAGUGCCUGGACCUCUAUUACUUUAAAAAUUACGUACCAUGAUUAUGCUCUGUCUGGGACACACUGAGCAUUUGGUUGGGUUGGCUGCCCAAUGGCCAGUUUGGCCUUGUCUCUAUCUGAAAGUGUCAGCAUUCUAUAGAUUGCAAAGUGUGAAGUGCAACAUUCUUCCAUAUUUUAGCUAGACAUUUCCAGAACAUCCUUUUUUGCAAAAUGUGUUAAGAACUGAAAUUAAAUGUAUAAUUAAAAACUUCUAUUUUAGAAGAAUUCAUAACAUUAAUUUUAAGCCUGUUCAAGCGUUGCGCAUGAAUUUCUAUAAAAAGCCUAAUUUGGAGGAUGUUAUGGGACAAUGCAUACAGUUCCUAAUUCACACUACUAAAGACUAAUAAACUGUGCUAAGAAAACAUUUAUAGUAGCUAAGAUCAAUUAAUGGAUCCAAGUGGCUUACACCAAAUUACAACCCCAUCAUUUGCACAUGAAAACAGAAAGCUUUACCAUAUUAGGCAAUGGUUUCCCAAUCUUUGAUUGUCAAAGCUUGGUGAUAAUGUACCCAUGUACCCUCAUCACCUUGUUCUCAACUGACACCAGUGGAACCCAAAACAUUUAUUCAUAUAACAAUAAAUAAUUUUCCAGGUUUGAUAUGUUGUGAAGACGGAGAUGGCCUUGUGUUUUAUGUUGUGUUUAUUUUAUUUUAAUAUUUGUACAAAGCAAAAGGACCGGGUGCUUUGCAGUAGUAAAAAGGACAAGUGAAGAGUAGCGUAGCCAUGAUAAAGGUGUUCUAGAGCUGAAACAUUGUUACUUUUUGUCUGGAAUAGACUCCUUUUUAUUCUUGCUAGAUGAUUGGCUAUUUUGCCUUAAUUCAAUGGUUGAGGUUCCUUAGAGUGUGUGUCUUCCAAUAUCAAAUGUUUGGAUGACAACAAAACCACUUAACCACCAUUUUAUAUAUUAAGAUACAACCAAAUAAUUCACUGUUUGACUGGUUUAUAUCAUGUUCGGUUAUGUGAAAGACUAAGAACACUACGGGAAAUAAUAAUCAAUAGUCCAAAAGUAAAUUACUGUUAUAUUUAGAGAUUAAUCAAAUGCAUCUUCCAAAAUAAAAUUUAUUCCCAUGUGUGCUCCAAACAAAAGCCAAAUAUUUGAAUGUCAUUUUAUUUGUAGUUUUAUUUUUACUUAAUGUUUUCUUUUGUUUUUCUAAUUUUAAAUUUUGAAAUAUUGAUUUAAAAAAAAAAAAAAAAAUUAAUGUUAUCAUACUUUUGGUUGCACUAACAUGCCCAUGACCAACAAAGAUUCACACAGUAAAUAAAAAUGUAUUUCUGCAUCUGGCAUUUUCUUGACAGUACUGUAACUGGUUUCCUUUCGUCAUAGGGCAUAAGAUUAUAAUGAGUAUUUGUGCCUUGCUCACGACUGACUCUGUUUAUGUUUAUUAUAUUGCUUUUCAGAUUUUGGUUGAUAAGGGAACACAAAUUUUAUACAAGUGGCCUUUUAGUGCUAUUUACAAUAUCAUUAUUUAUUGUAGUUUUUAAAAUGUAUGUCGAAUUUAUAUUCUGGCACUGUCCAUUAUUUAAAGAAACAAACAGAAAAAAAACUAAAAUUUUGCUAUGUUUAUUUAAAUAUAUUAUGCAACAAGUACUUCUUAUCUGAUUUUUUUAUGUUCUGUCAAUAAAAC
Molecule: long non-coding RNA, 5104 nt
Filed under: Pelobates cultripes (western spadefoot toad)
Lineage: Eukaryota; Metazoa; Chordata; Amphibia; Anura; Pelobatidae
Source: RNAcentral